This 262-nucleotide ribosomal RNA is filed under the name uncultured archaeon. RNAcentral describes it as "partial 16S ribosomal RNA". It matches the Rfam family "Archaeal small subunit ribosomal RNA", at positions 748 to 1009 of the family's 1478-position model. The record is from RNAcentral.
CAGCCGUAAACAAUGUGCGUUAGGUGUGUCGGUAACCACGAGUCACCGAGGUGCCGAAGGGAAACCGUGAAACGUGCCGCCUGGGAAGUACGGUCGCAAGGCUGAAACUUAAAGGAAUUGGCGGGGGAGCACAACAACGGGUGGAGCUUGCGGUUUAAUUUGGAUUCAACGCCGGAAAUCUUACCGGGACCGACAGCAACAUGAAGGCCAAGCUGAAGACUUUGCCGGAUUAGCUGAGAGGAGGUGCAUGGCGUAGUCGUGU